CCUACGGGAGGCAGCAGUGAGGAAUAUUGGUCAAUGGACGAGAGUCUGAACCAGCCAAGUAGCGUGAAGGAUGACUGCCCUAUGGGUUGUAAACUUCUUUUACAUGGGAAUAAAAUGUUCCACGUGUGGGAUUUUGUAUGUACCAUAUGAAUAAGGAUCGGCUAACUCCGUGCCAGCAGCCGCGGUAAUACGGAGGAUCCGAGCGUUAUCCGGAUUUAUUGGGUUUAAAGGGAGCGUAGGUGGAUUGUUAAGUCAGUUGUGAAAGUUUGCGGCUCAACCGUAAAAUUGCAGUUGAAACUGGCAGUCUUGAGUACAGUAGAGGUGGGCGGAAUUCGUGGUGUAGCGGUGAAAUGCUUAGAUAUCACGAAGAACUCCGAUUGCGAAGGCAGUUCACUGGACUGCAACUGACACUGAGGCUCGAAAGUGUGGGUAUCAAACAGGAUUAGAUACCCCUGUAGUC
RNAcentral lists this ribosomal RNA (460 nucleotides) under uncultured bacterium. RNAcentral describes it as "partial 16S ribosomal RNA". It matches the Rfam family "Bacterial small subunit ribosomal RNA", at positions 338 to 795 of the family's 1533-position model. The record is from RNAcentral.